RNAcentral lists this transfer RNA (69 nucleotides) under Oplurus cuvieri. RNAcentral describes it as "tRNA-Ala". Lineage: Eukaryota; Metazoa; Chordata; Lepidosauria; Squamata. The record is from RNAcentral.
CAAGACCUGCGAAUUACUAUAACGCAUCAACUGAAUGCAACCCAGACACUUUAAUUAAGCUAAGGCCUC